RNAcentral lists this ribosomal RNA (429 nucleotides) under Chloroflexota bacterium. RNAcentral's name for it is "Chloroflexi bacterium partial 16S ribosomal RNA". It matches the Rfam family "Bacterial small subunit ribosomal RNA", at positions 355 to 776 of the family's 1533-position model. Lineage: Bacteria; Bacillati; Chloroflexota. The record is from RNAcentral.
UGGGGAAUAUUGCACAAUGGGCGCAAGCCUGAUGCAGUCAUGCCGCGUGUAUGAAGAAGGCCUUCGGGUUGUAAAGUACUUUCAGUCGGGAGGAAGGUGGUAAGGUUAAUAACCUUAUCAAUUGACGUUACCGACAGAAGAAGCACCGGCUAACUCCGUGCCAGCAGCCGCGGUAAUACGGAGGGUGCAAGCGUUAAUCGGAAUUACUGGGCGUAAAGCGCACGCAGGCGGUUGAUUGAGUCAGAUGUGAAAUCCCCGGGCUUAACCCGGGAAUUGCAUCUGAUACUGGUCAGCUAGAGUCUUGUAGAGGGGGGUAGAAUUCCAUGUGUAGCGGUGAAAUGCGUAGAGAUGUGGAGGAAUACCGGUGGCGAAGGCGGCCCCCUGGACAAAGACUGACGCUCAGGUGCGAAAGCGUGGGGAGCAAACAGG